This 440-nucleotide ribosomal RNA is filed under the name uncultured bacterium. Its description in RNAcentral is "partial 16S ribosomal RNA". It matches the Rfam family "Bacterial small subunit ribosomal RNA", at positions 338 to 795 of the family's 1533-position model. The record is from RNAcentral.
CCUACGGGUGGCAGCAGUGGGGAAUAUUGCACAAUGGGGGAAACCCUGAUGCAGCGACGCCGCGUGAGUGAAGAAGGAUUUUCGUAUGUAAAGCUCUGUUAGUAGGGAAGAAAAUUACGGUACUUGACCAAGAAGCCCCGGCUAACUCGGUGCCAGCAGCCGCGGCAAUACGUAGGCGGCAAGCGUUAUCCGGAUUCACUGGGUGUAAAGGGAGCGUGGGCGGCGGGGCUAGUCUGGAGUGAAAGGCGGGGGCUCAACCCCAGGACUGCACUGGAAACUGCCAGGCUGGAGUACAGGAGGGGGAAGUGGAAUUCGUGGUGUAGCGGUGAAAUGCGUAGAUAUUAGGAGGAACACCAGUGGCGAAGGCGGCUUACUGGACUGUAACUGACGUUGAGGCUCGAAAGCGUGGGGAGCGAACAGGAUUAGAUACCCUGGUAGUC